Molecule: long non-coding RNA, 694 nt
Organism: Ostrinia furnacalis (Asian corn borer)
Lineage: Eukaryota; Metazoa; Arthropoda; Insecta; Lepidoptera; Crambidae
Exons: 2
Source: RefSeq, a predicted model, not a curated record
UUCAGUGUUCAGGAGAUUGUUUUCAUCAUGGUUUUUAUUAGUAUUUGCUUUUUACCUAAGCGGCGAAACGAAACGUCUUGCGAUGUCAAUGACUCGCAGGCUGUCAGUUGAGCUGUCAAAUCACUUUGGAAUUUUGGUCGAUCUUGCGCAACCGCAAUUUUAUUAUUUUCGGGGAUGUAAUCCCCUGUGUUUUAAAUCGUGUGUUGCAGAAUGCAUCCACGAUAAUUCCAUAAUAUAAUUUAAAAUAAUCACACAUGAGAAAUUCCCUAAAUCCUGUUCGGUUGAGGGUAUUGGGAUGCUGAAGACUGUGAGUGAAGCUCAGAUUAGCGAACGGUCUUCGUAAGUAUUUCUUUCCCAUUGCGGUUUUUUUCAUAACCUAAUGCCACGUUCCACAUGUGAUCCUGACACUCGUGUUUUUCGUUUCAGAUGCUGGGUUUUCAAAUUUCGUAUUUUAAGAUUUCAUAGAUUUCAUAUUUUACACUAUUUUUAUAGACAUUUUAGAUAUUUCAAUAUUUCAUAUUGAUUUCUCAUCAUUUGGUAUAAAUUAUUUCUCCUUUCUAAACUGCUGAUCUCUUCGCAUUUCCUCCUUGUCAUCAAACCUCUGUCUCUGCAAGAGUUUGAACGCUUACCUGUCGAAGAGAUGCAAGAGCUUCAUCUGGCACUGCGCGCUUGAGGCCGUGGAGGACGCUGCUUG